UCAUGGAAGGCAUGGGUUGAUAGCGCCGCCGAACCAGGAACGUACAGUCGCAAAAGAAAGCAAAAACUAAAUCAUUUCCCUUCACACUCUCCCCCACCGACAAUCCCAAUGCCAUUCGCGGGCAGAAGGCC
Caenorhabditis elegans is the source of this 131-nucleotide non-coding RNA. NCBI's taxonomy places the organism in Eukaryota, Metazoa, Nematoda, Chromadorea, Rhabditida, Rhabditidae. The record is from Ensembl.